Capsicum annuum is the source of this 1178-nucleotide long non-coding RNA. RefSeq lists it as uncharacterized. NCBI's taxonomy places the organism in Eukaryota, Viridiplantae, Streptophyta, Magnoliopsida, Solanales, Solanaceae. The record is from RefSeq and is a predicted model, not a curated record. The transcript is spliced from 2 exons.
UUCAUAUCUCACAAUAUACUACAACUCAUUUCUCAAAACACUAAGAAGAAAACACUCUUUAUAUAAGUGGAGUAUUUUUUCUAUCUAGUAAACCUUGAUAUUAUCCACUCCAUCCAGAAUACUUUUCCCAACUGUGAGAUGCACCGAUGACCACACCAUUUGGAAACUCACUGGUAAUGGUCUCUUCAGCUGUAGUAGUGCUAAUAAGUUUAUCUAUAAUUCCCAGCACAACAGUCCCCAUGAUCUGAAUGUUAGAAUCCACUUAAAUUGGCUCUAGCAUCUUAAAAUCCAUCCCAAAAUCAGGUUCUUUCUUAAACUUUUUCUUCACCAAAGACUCCUCUAUAACAGUGCUCUAAACAGGUUGGGCCUAACUAUAAACACUAGCUAUGCAUAUUGCAGCCAUCCCAUGGAAGAUAUUGUGCAUAUCUUCUGGGUAUGCCAUAGGGCUUUCUAGCUCUGGAAUAGCCUUUCCAGCAAAUAUACCCUCCCCUUACCCGCCAGUAUAAACCCUUUGGGAGAUGACAGAUGGGGCACUAUAUGGCGUUGGUAGAAGAACAAGCCUUUGAACCACCUCAUUAGCCUUGAAGUCCUCUUUGUUUUCUGUUUAUGGCAUAUAUGGAAGCACAUAAAUAGUGGCAUCUUCUAUAGUACUAAUACCAUUUCUUUUUGUGAAGAAUCUUAUGGGGAGGCAGUCGAGUUCACUUAUCUCAACAACUUGCACCAUCCUGGAGGUUUAGCCACUACUCCUAUCUCUAUUAGGUGGAAGCCGCCUCUAAUUGAUUUCUACAAACUCAACACUGACGGCUACUCUUUUGGGAACCCAGGAAUUGGAGGCAUUGGUAGAGUAAUAAGGAACAAUAAUGGGAAUUGGGUUUUGGGUUUCUGUAAAGGCUUUCCUGUUGCUAGUAACAAUCAGAUGGAACUAAUUUCACUCCUGGAAGGUCUGUGCUGAGAAGAAUAGAGAGACCAGUGGUGAUGCAUUGCUGCAGGAAACAAAAUUCGGUAGUGGAUGCUCUUGCUAAGGAAGGACCAAUAGGAAAAGCUUUUGGGAGCAUGAAGAUUUUUGCAGUUCCUCCUGUGUAUGUCAUGAAAUAUUUUAGGAAAUACUUACAUUAGGAAUGUUAAACCUUUUCCUAACGGGCAUAUCCCUGCUUGUUUCAUUUUGGGGCCUGACUGAA